Long non-coding RNA from Cotesia glomerata, 218 nucleotides. RefSeq lists it as uncharacterized. The record is from RefSeq and is a predicted model, not a curated record. Lineage: Eukaryota; Metazoa; Arthropoda; Insecta; Hymenoptera; Braconidae. The transcript is spliced from 3 exons.
UUUACCGUACAAUCACGGUAUCUUACCGUACAAUAACGGUAAAUUACUGUACAAUCGCGGUACUUUGCCGUAAAAUCUCCGUAAUUUACGGUGUCAUACUGUAUUACGGUUAAUCGCUGUACGUACCGUACUCUACCGUACCCUACCGUAAAUUUGCCGUACAUUACCGUAGUCUACCGCACUUUGGAUCCAUCAGGGUAUUUAAAACCGUUGAUUGA